UACGGAGGGUGCGAGCGUUAAUCGGAAUUACUGGGCGUAAAGCGCACGCAGGCGGUUUGUUAAGCUAGAUGUGAAAGCCCCGGGCUCAACCUGGGAUGGUCAUUUAGAACUGGCAGACUAGAGUCUUGGAGAGGGGAGUGGAAUUCCAGGUGUAGCGGUGAAAAGCGUAGAUAUCUGGAGGAACAUCAGUGGCGAAGGCGACUCCCUGGCCAAAGACUGACGCUCAUGUGCGAAAGUGUGGGUAGCGAACAGG
This 253-nucleotide ribosomal RNA is filed under the name uncultured bacterium. RNAcentral describes it as "partial 16S ribosomal RNA". It matches the Rfam family "Bacterial small subunit ribosomal RNA", at positions 524 to 776 of the family's 1533-position model. The record is from RNAcentral.